This 253-nucleotide ribosomal RNA is filed under the name uncultured bacterium. RNAcentral's name for it is "partial 16S ribosomal RNA". It matches the Rfam family "Bacterial small subunit ribosomal RNA", at positions 524 to 776 of the family's 1533-position model. The record is from RNAcentral.
UACGUAGGGGGCUAGCGUUGUCCGGAAUCAUUGGGCGUAAAGCGCGUGUAGGCGGCUCGGUAAGUCUGUUCUGAAAGUCCAGGGCUCAACCCUGGGAUGCGGAUGGAUACUGCCGAGCUCGAGUCCGGAAGAGGCGAGUGGAAUUCCUGGUGUAGCGGUGAAAUGCGCAGAUAUCAGGAGGAACACCAAUGGCGAAGGCAGCUCGCUGGGACGUGACUGACGCUGAGACGCGAAAGCGUGGGGAGCAAACAGG